RNAcentral lists this ribosomal RNA (516 nucleotides) under uncultured bacterium. Its description in RNAcentral is "bacterial SSU rRNA". It matches the Rfam family "Bacterial small subunit ribosomal RNA", at positions 29 to 518 of the family's 1533-position model. The record is from RNAcentral.
ACGAACGCUGGCGGCGUGCCUAAUACAUGCAAGUCGAACGGCUUUUCUAUGGAAGCUUGCUUCCACUGAGAAGAUAGUGGCGAACGGGUGAGUAACACGUGGGUAACCUGCCCAUAAGAGGGGGAUAACAUCCGGAAACGGGUGCUAAUACCGCAUAGUUUUCUUGAUCGCAUGAUUGAGAAAGGAAAGACGGCCUUUGUGCUGUCGCUUAUGGAUGGACCCGCGGCGUAUUAGUUAGUUGGUGAGGUAACGGCUCACCAAGACGAUGAUACGUAGCCGACCUGAGAGGGUGAUCGGCCACAUUGGGACUGAGACACGGCCCAAACUCCUACGGGAGGCAGCAGUAGGGAAUCUUCCGCAAUGGACGAAAGUCUGACGGAGCAACGCCGCGUGAGUGAAGAAAGGUUUUCGGAUCGUAAAACUCUGUUGUCAGAGAAGAACAAGUUGGAGAGUAACUGCUCCAGCCUUGACGGUAUCUGACCAGAAAGCCGCGGCUAACUACGUGCCAGCAGCGGC